UUAAGACGGGCGCGCCACAUGGGAGUUUUCAAAGCUUAGGCUCCAAACUCCACGUAGUAACAGCAGCUGAAAGGGGGAGAGGGGAAAAGGGGAGGGGAAGAGACUGGAAUAUUAAUUUAAGCCCUGAUAUUAAAGUAUAGGACCCGGCCAGCGGCUAAAUAUGAUGAAGGCAAAAAGACGCUGCUUUGGCAUUCUCUUUGCAGCACAGAGUUUACAUGAAGUAGAAGAAAUCCUUGCAGUGGUGCAAACUGACAUGGCAAGUGGCGGAAACCAGGUCUAACCACCAGCUGAUUGCAGUAGCCGGUCACAACUGCCCAGAGUGUAAUUCCCACCGAUAAGCGCGGAUCCUUAUCUUUGAAACACAAAGCGACAGCAGCACGGAUUCAUCGAGCCAUUGGACAACUUCGCAGUGCAGCAGCCUAGGCUGUCCGGCCGAGAACCGCAGUCCUAUCAGGGUUUGCUGUAGCUCAGAAAGCUUUGCCUAUAUGACUACUGCAUACCCUACUGGGAGAAUUGGAAGAAUGUGAUGAUGUUGGGAGUCACCCACCAUAGAAGCAUGAGUCAAUGACAUCCCAGAGAUCUGCAAAGGAUCCUGGUAGCCACUUCAAAGACUUUUUCUCCCUUCCUCAGACAAUCAUGGCAAAUGGACAUCAGAGGAAGAAAUGGCGAAGUAUGUAUGACUCCUCCAGCAGAGUCCUCGGAAACAAUAAAGCUUCCUUUCGAAAUUCUGA
Molecule: long non-coding RNA, 731 nt
Organism: Cercocebus atys (sooty mangabey)
Lineage: Eukaryota; Metazoa; Chordata; Mammalia; Primates; Cercopithecidae
Exons: 2
Source: RefSeq, a predicted model, not a curated record